Molecule: ribosomal RNA, 482 nt
Filed under: uncultured organism
Description: bacterial SSU rRNA
Rfam family: Bacterial small subunit ribosomal RNA
Source: RNAcentral
AUUGAACGCUGGCGGCAUGCCUUACACAUGCAAGUCGAACGGUAACGCGGGGCAACCUGGCGACGAGUGGCGAACGGGUGAGUAAUGCAUCGGAACGUGCCCUGUAGUGGGGGAUAGCCCGGCGAAAGCCGGAUUAAUACCGCAUACGACCUAGGGGUGAAAGCGGGGGACCGCAAGGCCUCGCGCUACUGGAGCGGCCGAUGUCAGAUUAGGUAGUUGGUGGGGUAAAGGCUCACCAAGCCGACGAUCUGUAGCUGGUCUGAGAGGACGACCAGCCACACUGGGACUGAGACACGGCCCAGACUCCUACGGGAGGCAGCAGUGGGGAAUUUUGGACAAUGGGCGCAAGCCUGAUCCAGCCAUGCCGCGUGCGGGAAGAAGGCCUUCGGGUUGUAAACCGCUUUUGUCAGGGAAGAAAUCCAUUGGGAUAACACCUCGGGGGGAUGACGGUACCUGAAGAAUAAGCACCGGCUAACUACGUG